AUGUGUAUAGAAAUAUCUUUUGGUUUUAACUUCAUCUGUAUAGUUAAUAGCAUGUUAAUUAAACUGAAGAAAUAAAAGUGCAAACGGAAGGAAGGAAUCAGAUUAAACAGUUUUGACACAAUAAUGUAUGAGAAAGGUUUUAAUAAGUCAGUUAUUCAUUCAAUAGAGUACCAACGUACUAGUGUGAGAAUGUACUUGUGUACUAUAGGAAAUAGUCUAUUAUAACCUGUAACAGGGAUGCUUUAAAAUUUUAACUAAGUUGAAGAAAACACAUACACACACACACACAUGUGUGUGUGA
Long non-coding RNA from Octopus sinensis (East Asian common octopus), 300 nucleotides. RefSeq lists it as uncharacterized. The record is from RefSeq and is a predicted model, not a curated record. The transcript has 3 exons. Lineage: Eukaryota; Metazoa; Mollusca; Cephalopoda; Octopoda; Octopodidae.